UAAUGAUAUUUCUGAUCAGGAUCUUCUUCUUGAUGUGCCGUCGAAUGGAUCAUACCCUCAAGCAGAGCUUCUUCACAUGAUAUGAAAGAAGUGAAAGUUUCUCAGAACAAAGACUUAAAAGACCUUUUCAAAGAUCUCUCUCUAUCUUAUCUCUAAUGAUUGAAGAGAAAACUCUCUUUUAGUCUUAUCUUGGCUGAGAAAUUGUGGCCAAAUGAGAUUUUCCUGCAUUAGAAAUUUCAAUCUGCAGAUAUAUAUAAAAAAGGAAGGAUGUUAUGUAAGGGGAUCUUUUUGGCGAUCUUAUUUGAUACCUACAUAUACUGUCUUCUUGUCCUUAUUAAAAUAUUUUUAUGGAAAUUUUAUUGUGCUCUUAUUAUGUAGAAGAUGAGUUGCAUGAGAACAUAAUUGAAUAAAAUCUUGAUACUAAAUGCUUUUCUAGAAGUAUUAGGAUAAGUUGUCAAGAUUCCGAGCAUUGAUGAUCAUGUUGUUGCAGCUCCUAAACCAAAAGGAACUUGUUUCAAACAAGUAGAAGCGUUUAGAAACUUUGAUCACCAUGAUGCUACUCCUCGAUCGUGAGAAAGUGCUUGAGGUCUUGCAUCUUUUUAAGAUGUUUUCAGGCAGUUGGAUAGAGAUAAACAAGCAUGGCGAGGUGGAUAUUUAUCUGAUGCUACAGCUAUAAUAGGCAUCAAAACAUAAGCUAUGCUAGAGAAAAUGAGGAAACAAGUGAAGAGAAUGGGAUUGGUUCCUGGAAUCAACGUUGGCGACGAGUUACAAUACAAAACCUCUCCUUGUUGUGGGUCUUUCAUUUCAAGACGAUGUGCAUGAUUUUACUAUAUGGAAAAGGGAAAUGUUAAGCUUGCCACAAGCAUCAUUGCCACACAAUGAUAGGGUUACAAUGGUAAGGUUGAUGCUGGUGUUGUGGUUUUUACUGGUGAAGGAGGAAACGUGUUAAGCAAGGCAAACAAAACUGAAGAUCAGAAAUCUCUUUCUUUCUAUUGAAAAAAAAAACUCUUUUAUUCUUUAGUCAUUUCUGAGAAAUUUGAAAUUUGAAGCUGGCUUUAAUAUUUUUUUUUUGCUUGGGGGCCCUAAAUUUGCAGGGCCGGUUUUGUAUACUUAGAGAGUUCUAAGAAAAUUAAAAAAACUUCGUCAAAAGUCAUUUGUAUUCACUAAUAAAGUAGUUAUAUAUAUGCUUUUUUUAGAAAAAAAGCUUACUAUAUGCUAUUUUCCCUUAAGAUGUAAUGUGAAAACAACUUUUUUAAUGCAUAACAUGUCAAUUUUUCAUAUUAAUUCUUUUAACUAUUUACAGCAAUUUUUUUUGUUUUAUUGACUGAAAGUUUAUAUAUUCCACAUUAUACAUUUAAUUUCCUACAAAACCAACAAGGGAGCUCACCCUUUGCAUUAGACUAUCAAUAAUUGAAUAGUUGAAUCAAUAAUUUAACUCUUGAAAGUUAUAAAGUGAAAAUAUCGAAUUUGUUGGGAAAAAAAAACAGUCCUAGCUGCCAAGUGUUGACUUUUAAUUAAAGAAAAUGUUGAAUGAUGACCUAUAUAAAAUUCAUGGGUUCAGUUUUUAUUGGUUGUCUAGAUUUUUAUGAUUCUUGUUUCCAUCAAUUAUUCAAAUUCGAUUAUCUAAUAGGAAGAAAUAUAUCAAAUUUCAUCCUUUUAUGAUAAUAUAAGUGAACAAGAAGAUAAUCGGAUUAUUUCCUGGAAUCCACGUUGGCGACGAGUUUCAGUACAAAACCUAGCUUCUUCUUGUGGGUCUUCCUUCAAGACAAUGUGCAGGAUUUUAUUAUAUGAAAAAUGGGAAAUGUUAAGGUUGCCACAAGCAUCGUUGCCACAAAGAUGCAUUCUGCUGAAUUUGGGGUUAAUAAAUGCCAGAGAUCUCUAAAUUUUGGUUGCAGGACCAAACCUCAAGUCUUGGGAAGACGUAGUUUACCACUCUGUAACAUAGAUUUGAAGGUAAAUUUCAUUUGCAAUUCCUUAACAGUUUUGUUUUCUUAAAAGAUCAUUUUGAAUGACUUAUCUUCUUUCUUCAGGAUGUUUUCAACUUUGAUGAGUUCAUAGAAAAGUUCACAAUGGAAGAACAGCAAAAGCUGAUGAAACUACUUCCUGGAGUUGACUCUGUUGAUCUUCCUGAAAGGUUUUGAACUCAAUGCAACUUCAGUGUUUUACAGAUUUUCUUUAGUGGCUACUUUGUGUUCUUAUACUUCUCGUUUUCUUCUUUUUGCCAGCCUCAGAAGCAUGUUUGAGUGUUCUCAGUUCAAAGAUAACUUCUCCUUGUUUCAGCAACUAGUUGCAGAUGGCGUCUUUCAGCCAUUAUCAUCAUCAUCUUCUUCUUCCUCUGGAUCAAAACUUGAAGAGCUUAAGACUCUUGCAAAGCUUGCUUUAUCUGAUCCUAACAAAUCCCAUUUGUUGGAAAGCUAUCAAAUGCUCAAGGUUUUCUAGACAUAUACUCUUCUUGAAACAAAUGGUUUCUUUACUUUCAGCUUUUGUUCACUUAAAUCAUUUCCUCAGGAACAGAGAAAAGAGAUUGAAGACUCUGUUGCUAAACCAUCUGAUAAUCAUAGUUUAGUAACCAUUGAAAGACCUUGUGAAAGCCUAAACCAAAACUUCUCAGGUCAAUUCAAGAUUCUUGAAUCAUGUCAAUCCAUUACUUUCUGCAAUUGACUCUCUAUGUUUCUGAUAACUUUGAGUUGUGAAUCCUUCAGAGACAAGGACUGUGAUGAAGAGCCCAAAAGAAGUGAUAAAGAUUAGAUCAAAACAAAUCGAAACCAAAGAGAUUAUUGAGAAUAGUGUCUCUUCCUUUAACCAUAUGAGCUAUGGUGAGUCCAUGGUUUAUAGUCAUGAAGAUAAUGAUAUUUCUGAUCAGGAUCUUCUUCUUGAUGUGCCGUCGAAUGGAUCAUACCCUCAAGCAGAGCUUCUUCACAUGAUAUGAAAGAAGUGAAAGUUUCUCAGAACAAAGACUUAAAAGACCUUUUCAAAGAUCUCUCUCUAUCUUAUCUCUAAUGAUUGAAGAGAAAACUCUCUUUUAGUCUUAUCUUGGCUGAGAAAUUGUGGCCAAAUGAGAUUUUCCUGCAUUAGAAAUUUCAAUCUGCAGA
This 3092-nucleotide long non-coding RNA is filed under the name Brassica napus (rape). RNAcentral's name for it is "long non-coding RNA (BNAP_LNC020268)". Lineage: Eukaryota; Viridiplantae; Streptophyta; Magnoliopsida; Brassicales; Brassicaceae. The record is from RNAcentral.